AGCUCCGAUAGCGUAUAUUAAAGUUGUUGCAGUUAAAAAGCUCGUAGUUGAACUUCUAAGGAUUGAAGUCGCCUUAUGGCUUGUAUUGAUAUCCUUAUCCGCUUUGAUUUAGCAAUACGCACUUUGUUGGGCGAUUGUGUAAUCAGGCAAUUUACUUUGAAAAAAUUAGAGUGUUUCAAGCAGGCGAUUUGCUGGAAUACAUUAGCAUGGAAUAAUAGAACACGACCUCUUAGGCAUUUUAUUGGUAUAUGACUGGAGGUAAUGAUUAACAGGGACAGUUGGGGGCAUUAGUAUUGCAUUGUCAGAGGUGAAAUUCAUUGAUUAGUGCAAGACUAACUUAUGCGAAAGCAUUUGCCAAGGAUGUUUUCA
Molecule: ribosomal RNA, 369 nt
Filed under: uncultured eukaryote
Lineage: Eukaryota
Description: SSU rRNA
Rfam family: Eukaryotic small subunit ribosomal RNA
Source: RNAcentral